Molecule: unclassified non-coding RNA, 266 nt
Filed under: uncultured fungus
Lineage: Eukaryota; Fungi
Description: partial contains 5.8S ribosomal RNA, internal transcribed spacer 2, and large subunit ribosomal RNA
Rfam family: 5.8S ribosomal RNA (bases 1-52)
Source: RNAcentral
AACGCACAUUGCGCCUCUUGGUAUUCCGAGGGGCAUGUCUGUUUGAGCGUCAGUACACACCUCCCGAGCAUCUUUUUGCGAAGGGCUCUGGGACGGUCGGCCUGAGACACGGCCCUCCUCCCUAAUGUGGCACGCUUGCGGACCUCCAGUUCAGCAGUCAACGUAGUAAACUUAAACGCUCGUGGAAAGCUGGUGGAAGGGCUCGCCUGAAUCAAACUCUCUUAUGGUUUGACCUCAGAUCAGACAAGGAUACCCGCUGAACUUAA